Molecule: long non-coding RNA, 840 nt
Filed under: Homo sapiens (human)
Lineage: Eukaryota; Metazoa; Chordata; Mammalia; Primates; Hominidae
Description: non-protein coding lnc-GNB2-1:2
Source: RNAcentral
UAUUAAGCGGCCAGGAGGAGAUGGGGCAGGGGGCACCUAGCAGGGACUUAGAGACCGUCGCUAAGGAACUGGCGGCAGAGAGGAGAGCAGGGAAGAGGCGGAGACCAGGACUCUGCAGGACGACUGAUGAGGGACAGCUGGCGAUGAGGCCCCCAUCUGAUUCUGGAGUCAGUGUCUGGCUGAAAGCUGGGCAUACAGGACUAUUCAGAGACGGAGUUUCACCAUGUUGACCUCAGGUGAUCCACCUACCUGGGCCUCCUAAACUGCCGGGAUUACAGGCGUGAGCCACCGCGCCCAGCUCUUCAAGUUUCUGCUACCAAGAUGCCUUCACUGAAUAAGGAGCUGGGUGUACAAUGGGCACUCGUGACCUGGCAUGAGCGGAUGCCAGCAUGCCACUGUCCACGGGCAUCUAAGUGGGGAUAUUCAGUCAGCCAUUGGAUGUACACCAAGUCGGCACACGGGGAAGAGACAUCUGGGCUGGAGACAGUAAUGGAUGAAGUCACCAAUGAAUAACAUGGAGAGUGAGCAGAGGAGGCCAAAGUCAGUAUUCUGGGAAAAACAAUGUUUGCAGAGUGCCCUGAGGAGGAGGAGAUGCUAAGAAGCCAGAAGAGGUAGAGGAAGGAGGCCCUGUGACCCAUCAGAGCCACAUCCGCCACUUGCUCUCGAGGGUCCUGCCUGCUCAGAUAAGUUGGCUACUCAUUGGUCAUCACCUGGCAACUCUGUCCUUCCUUGCAUCUGGCCAACUUCUUUUUCCUCUCUCUUUCCUCCUGCCCUCCUCAUUACCAUCUAAAUUAGCUCCAGUAGCUCUCAUCAAAACUCAAAUAACGGCCAGGCGCGGCG